This 404-nucleotide ribosomal RNA is filed under the name uncultured prokaryote. Its description in RNAcentral is "bacterial SSU rRNA". It matches the Rfam family "Bacterial small subunit ribosomal RNA", at positions 355 to 776 of the family's 1533-position model. RNAcentral also lists the same sequence under 1 other name. The record is from RNAcentral.
UGGGGAAUAUUGGACAAUGGGGGCAACCCUGAUCCAGCCAUGCCGCGUGAGUGAUGAAGGCCCUAGGGUUGUAAAGCUCUUUUGUGCGGGAAGAUAAUGACGGUACCGCAAGAAUAAGCCCCGGCUAACUUCGUGCCAGCAGCCGCGGUAAUACGAAGGGGGCUAGCGUUGCUCGGAAUCACUGGGCGUAAAGGGUGCGUAGGCGGGUUUCUAAGUCAGAGGUGAAAGCCUGGAGCUCAACUCCAGAACUGCCUUUGAUACUGGAAGUCUUGAGUAUGGCAGAGGUGAGUGGAACUGCGAGUGUAGAGGUGAAAUUCGUAGAUAUUCGCAAGAACACCAGUGGCGAAGGCGGCUCACUGGGCCAUUACUGACGCUGAGGCACGAAAGCGUGGGGAGCAAACAGG